This 379-nucleotide unclassified non-coding RNA is filed under the name soil metagenome. Its description in RNAcentral is "partial contains 5.8S ribosomal RNA, internal transcribed spacer 2, and large subunit ribosomal RNA". The stretch from base 1 to 120 matches the Rfam family "5.8S ribosomal RNA", at positions 35 to 154 of the family's 154-position model. The record is from RNAcentral.
GAUGAAGAACGUAGCGAAAUGCGAUAAGUAAUGUGAAUUGCAGAAUUCAGUGAAUCAUCGAAUCUUUGAACGCACCUUGCACCCUUUGGUAUUCCGAAGGGUAUGCUCGUUUGAGUGUCAUUGUACUCUCACACUUCCGAUCGUUGGAUUGGGAGCGGUGGACUUGGGUGUUGCUGCUUACUGUGGCUCACCUCAAAUCGAUUCGUGCACCUCUUGGUUGGACAUAGUACGGCGUGAUAAGUGUCUUCGCCGGCACCUCAGUAGAGGGUGGCUGAUCGGGAGCUCUGUGCUUCAAACCGUCCUCGGACAACAACUGACAACUUGACCUCAAAUCGAGUAGGACUACCCGCUGAACUUAAGCAUAUCAAUAAGCGGAGGA